RNAcentral lists this long non-coding RNA (1356 nucleotides) under Numida meleagris (helmeted guineafowl). Its description in RNAcentral is "lncRNA (ENSNMEG00000006133.1)". Lineage: Eukaryota; Metazoa; Chordata; Aves; Galliformes; Numididae. The record is from RNAcentral.
GGGCGGCGGUGGUGGCGGCGGCGUCACCGCGACGGCGGCGGCGGACGUGUACAGCCUGGGGCUGACGGUGGCCGAGGUGACGCUGGGGCCACGGGCGGAGGAUGGGGAAACUUGGAGCCAGCUGAGGGCAGGGAGCCUGCCCCACGGCGUGCGGGACGAGCUGCCGCGCUGCCCUAUGGCGGAUGUGGGACGCGCUAUGGGGCAGAGCUAUGGGGCGGCGCUCCCCGAGCACCCCGCCCCAUACGCCACUCCUGCCCCACACCGACCUGUGGGAUGAAGAAGAGGAGGAAGAGGAGAGUGGGGCGCUGUGGGGCCACGGCCCCCCCGGGAGGUGAGCGCUAUGGGGCAGAGGUGGGGCAGUGCCCCAUAGCGCGUCCCCCCACGCUCACCCCGUUGUCCCCACACAGCCCCACCGCCUUCCGCCCCACUGCCUCCACCCCACAGCACCGUGGGUCGCCACCAAGGUGAGUGCUGCCCCAUAGCCCUGCCCCAUAGCGCUGUCCUAUGACCCUGCCCCAUAGCCCUGCCCCAUAGCGCUGUCCUACGACCCUGCCCCAUAGCCCUGCCCCAUAGUGCUGUCCUAUGACCCUGCCCCAUAGCGCUGUCCUAUGACCCUGCCCCGUAGCCCUGCCCCACUGUCCUGUCCUACGACCCUACCCCAUAGCGCUGCCCCAUAACCUGAGCCGUCUCACCCCACAGCACCCCCGAGGGCAGCCCCACCGCUAUGGGGCGCCUACGCCGCACUCUCACCUUCGAGGAGGAUCCAGAGCUCCCUAGCGUCGCCCCAUAGCGCCGCCCCAUAGCGCUGCCCCAUAAGGGGGGCGCUGAUUGGCCAACGGGACGGAAACAACGCUUCUGGUUGGCCGAUGGGACGGGACUGAGUUCUGAUUGGCUGAAGGAAUGCCGCUUGAUUGGCCGAAGGAACAGGAACAAUCUUCUGAUUGGCCAAAGGAAUAGCAGAAUGCUUCUGAUUGGCCAAUGCGCUAGGAAUGCAUUCUGAUUGGCUGAAGGAAUGGGAGCAGCACUCCUGAUUGGCCAGCGGGUGGCGCUGGGAUCCGCCCAUUAAAGUGCUAAACCGCUACGGAGGGGGGGCGUGGCCGAACAUAAGCCCCGCCCACUCCAGUGCCCUGCCGCAAUCCCAUUGGCUGACGUCAACGUCGCCGCGCCAUAUAUGGACACAGGCUGCCGCGAGUCGAUUUGCAUAGCCACGCUCGCCGCGUCGCGAUUUGCAUAAAUCUUUCAUAUUCAUGAGCUUGGCCCACGCCCUCCCGCCUCUCCAGCAGGGACCCCGAUGGGAGAAUCGAGUGGAGGCGAAUCUGUGGGGCAGAUGUGGGGUGUCUAUGGGGCAGAUGUGGG